UAAUACGGAGGGUGCAAGCGUUGUCCGGAUUUAUUGGGUUUAAAGGGUGCGUAGGCGGCUUAUUAAGUCAGGGGUGAAAGACUAUUGCUUAACAAUGGCAGUGCCUUUGAUACUGAUAGGCUUGAGUACAGCUGAGGCAGAUGGAACGGGUGGUGUAGCGGUGAAAUGCAUAGAUACCAUCCAGAACACCGAUUGCGAAGGCAGUCUGCUAAACUGUAACUGACGCUGAGGCACGAAAGCGUGGGGAUCGAACAGGAUUAGAUACCCUGGUAGUCCACGCCGUAAACGAUGAUGACUCGAUGUUAGGGAUAUACUCUUAGCGUCCAAGCGAAAGCGUUAAGUCAUCCACCUGGGGAGUACGCCCGCAAGGGUG
RNAcentral lists this ribosomal RNA (373 nucleotides) under uncultured bacterium. RNAcentral's name for it is "bacterial SSU rRNA". It matches the Rfam family "Bacterial small subunit ribosomal RNA", at positions 521 to 896 of the family's 1533-position model. The record is from RNAcentral.